Molecule: ribosomal RNA, 536 nt
Filed under: Bacillus subtilis
Lineage: Bacteria; Bacillati; Bacillota; Bacilli; Caryophanales; Bacillaceae
Description: bacterial SSU rRNA
Rfam family: Bacterial small subunit ribosomal RNA
Source: RNAcentral
AGAGUUUGAUCAUGGCUCAGGACGAACGCUGGCGGCGUGCCUAAUACAUGCAAGUCGAGCGGACAGAUGGGAGCUUGCUCCCUGAUGUUAGCGGCGGACGGGUGAGUAACACGUGGGUAACCUGCCUGUAAGACUGGGAUAACUCCGGGAAACCGGGGCUAAUACCGGAUGGUUGUUUGAACCGCAUGGUUCAAACAUAAAAGGUGGCUUCGGCUACCACUUACAGAUGGACCCGCGGCGCAUUAGCUAGUUGGUGAGGUAAUGGCUCACCAAGGCGACGAUGCGUAGCCGACCUGAGAGGGUGAUCGGCCACACUGGGACUGAGACACGGCCCAGACUCCUACGGGAGGCAGCAGUAGGGAAUCUUCCGCAAUGGACGAAAGUCUGACGGAGCAACGCCGCGUGAGUGAUGAAGGUUUUCGGAUCGUAAAGCUCUGUUGUUAGGGAAGAACAAGUACCGUUCGAAUAGGGCGGUACCUUGACGGUACCUAACCAGAAAGCCACGGCUAACUACGUGCCAGCAGCCGCGGUAAUAC